GAUGAACGCUAGCGGCAGGCUUAAUACAUGCAAGUCGAGGGGCAGCGCAGUGUAUCAAUACACGGGCGGCGACCGGCAAACGGGUGCGGAACACGUACGCAACCUACCCAUAACUGAUGAAUAUCCCUCCGACAGGAGGAUUAAUACAUCAUAACUUAAUGAAGCGGCAUCGCUUUAUUAAUAUAUCUCCGGCGGUUUUUGAUGGGCGGGCGGCUGAUUAGGUUGUUGGCGGGGUGACGGCCCACCACGCUUGCGAUCAGUAACUGGUGAAGGAUGACGAGCAGUAGCACGGGAACUGAGACACGGGGCCGGCGCCUACGGGCAGCAGCAGUAAGGAAGAUUGGUCAAUGGACGCAAGUCUGAACCAGCCAUGCCGCGGGAAGGAUGAAGGUCCUCUGGAUUGUAACCUUCUUUUGAAUGGGACGAAACCUCUUUAUCUUGAGAGACUGACGGUACCAGUAGAAUAAGCACCGGCUAACUACGUG
RNAcentral lists this ribosomal RNA (485 nucleotides) under uncultured bacterium. RNAcentral describes it as "partial 16S ribosomal RNA". It matches the Rfam family "Bacterial small subunit ribosomal RNA", at positions 28 to 507 of the family's 1533-position model. The record is from RNAcentral.